UUAAAAGAAACUGACUUCAUAACUUGCACUGAGAAAAGAGUUUUGCCUGUCCACUUAACACAUGGCAGAAGCUUUAUCCAGCUARUAACAGAGGGAAGCUCUGCAACUGAAAGGACAGAAGGGUUAUCCUUUGCCUCAGCUUGAGGCUACACCGUGGUGUUGCUGUGUCUCCUGUCCUGCUCGUCGGCCUGUGAGUGAAGGUAAACGCUGCACGGCGCACGGCUGCUGGCAUGGGAAGCGGAGCAGCUGAAGAGCCUCACCUGCAGCCUGUGCACAUGCUGUGUCACUGCACAGCAUUACACAGCAAACACAGCAUGUUGGAUGCACAGGUCCUGUGUUCAGCAUUUCCAGCCUUGGAGAGAAGCAGCCCUUCAAAACCAAGCUGAGGUGACAGUUGUGUCCCGGAGAUGUCUGAUGGGAGCAGAGCUGCGGGCUGUUGCCCGCCAGCAGUCUCUUGAUGCAUGCAAUACCCU
Molecule: long non-coding RNA, 473 nt
Organism: Nothoprocta perdicaria
Lineage: Eukaryota; Metazoa; Chordata; Aves; Tinamiformes; Tinamidae
Exons: 4
Source: RefSeq, a predicted model, not a curated record